Molecule: ribosomal RNA, 394 nt
Filed under: uncultured bacterium
Lineage: Bacteria
Description: partial 16S ribosomal RNA
Rfam family: Bacterial small subunit ribosomal RNA
Source: RNAcentral
AUACGUAGGGCGCGAGCGUUGUCCGGAAUUACUGGGCGUAAAGGGCGCGUAGGCGGCGCUUCAAGUCGUCUGUCAAAUGGGAGGGCUUAACCCUUUUUCGCAGACGAAACUGGAGAGCUUGAGAAGCAGAGAGGCAAACAGAAUUCCUGGUGUAGCGGUGAAAUGCGUAGAUAUCAGGAAGAAUACCAGUGGCGAAGGCGGUUUGCUGGCUGCAUACUGACGCUGAAGCGCGAAAGCCAGGGGAGCAAACGGGAUUAGAUACCCCGGUAGUCCUGGCAGUAAACGAUGUAUGCUGGGUGUGAGACUAGCGAUAGUUUCGUGCCGAAGUUAACGCGAUAAGCAUACCGCCUGGGGAGUACGGUCGCAAGAUUGAAACUCAAAUGAAUUGGCGGGG